AAUUUUGGACAAUGGGGGAAACCCUGAUCCAGCCAUCCCGCGUGUAUGAUGAAGGCCUUCGGGUUGUAAAGUACUUUUGGCAGAGAAGAAAAGGUACCACCUCAUACGAGGUACUGCUGACGGUAUCUGCAGAAUAAGCACCGGCUAACUACGUGACAGCAACCGCGGUAAUAAGUAGGGUGAAAGCGUUAAUCGGAAUUGCUGGGCGUAAAGCGUGUGUAGGCGGUUCGGAAAGAAAGAUGUGAAAUCCCAGGGCUCAACCUUGGAACUGCAUUUUUAACAGCCGAGCUAGAGUAUGUAAGAGGGGGGUAGAAUUCCACGUGUAGCAGUGAAAUGCGUAGAUAUGUGGAGGAAUACCGAUGGCGAAGGCAGCCCCCUGGGAUAAUACUGACGCUCAGACACGAAAGCGUGGGGAGCAAACA
Molecule: ribosomal RNA, 422 nt
Filed under: uncultured bacterium
Lineage: Bacteria
Description: partial 16S ribosomal RNA
Rfam family: Bacterial small subunit ribosomal RNA
Source: RNAcentral